AUUGAACGCUGGCGGCAGGCCUAACACAUGCAAGUCGGACGGUAGCACAGAGAGCUUGCUCUUGGGUGACGAGUGGCGGACGGGUGAGUAAUGUCUGGGGAUCUGCCCGAUAGAGGGGGAUACCACUGGAAACGGUGGCUAAUACCGCAUAACGUCGCAAGACCAAAGAGGGGGACCUUCGGGCCUCUCACUAUCGGAUGAACCCAGAUGGGAUUAGCUAGUAGGCGGGGGAAUGGCCCACCUAGGCGACGAUCCCUAGCUGGUCUGAGAGGAUGACCAGCCACACUGGAACUGAGACACGGUCCAGACUCCUACGGGAGGCAGCAGUGGGGAAUAUUGCACAAUGGGCGCAAGCCUGAUGCAGCCAUGCCGCGUGUAUGAAGAAGGCCUUCGGGUUGUAAAGUACUUUCAGCGGAGAGGAAGGCGGUACGGUUAAUAACCGUACCGAUUGACGUUACCCGCAGAAGAAGCACCGGCUAACUCCGUGCCAGCAGCCGCCGCAG
This 503-nucleotide ribosomal RNA is filed under the name uncultured bacterium. RNAcentral's name for it is "partial 16S ribosomal RNA". It matches the Rfam family "Bacterial small subunit ribosomal RNA", at positions 29 to 523 of the family's 1533-position model. The record is from RNAcentral.